UCCCGUUUAGCUUAACUGGUUAAAGCACCCGACUCAUAAUCGGAUGAUUACGGGUUCGAAUCCUGUCGCGGGAA
Molecule: transfer RNA, 74 nt
Filed under: Caudoviricetes sp.
Lineage: Duplodnaviria; Heunggongvirae; Uroviricota; Caudoviricetes
Description: tRNA-Met
Rfam family: tRNA
About the family: Transfer RNA (tRNA) molecules are approximately 80 nucleotides in length. Their secondary structure includes four short double-helical elements and three loops (D, anti-codon, and T loops).
Source: RNAcentral